AUGUCCACGAAAGCGGAGUCCAGGGUGUCCAGCUCCAGUUCCAGCUCCAGAACCGAUGAAAGGAAGAGAUCGAGCAGUACAGGUCGAGAAAAAACGAAACGGAAACGCAGUCGCAGUAGGUCUUCCUCGUCGUCCUCUUCUAGGUCAUCAUCAUCAUCUUCGUCCUCGUCGUCCUCUUCUUCGUCGGGCUCGUCAAACUCAUCCAGCAACAGUCGGAGUAGCUCUAGCAGUAGCGACUCUCACAGUAAAUCCAGAAAGCAGUCUAAGAAAAGGAAAAAGGAGAAACCCAAAAAAGUAUUUUCUUUGUUCUCAUGCAUAAUUGACACACGUUUUCAGUAAGAGUUGAAUUGUUUAUUAAUUAAAGCAAUUAAAAAACUAAAUUAUACUUCUUCUGUUUCCUUCAGCAGAAAGUUAAGAAGGAAAAACGACACAAACGUAAAAAGGACAAGAAAGCAAAAGGAGGAGAGGAAAACACGGGACCUGUACAAAUCUCCAAGGUGAGUGAGGUCCCAUUCAACAACUGUGAGACCAGAAAUACAUACAUCCAAAAAUGCAUUUUGCACAUGAUCCUAGACCGUCCCUACAUUAUAUUGUUAUUAUUGACUUCCAUUCAUUUAGGGCCACUGAGCUCUAAAAUCGAGUCUAGUACAAUAAGUUGUUACAUCAAACAAACUGAGGUCUGUUUUGUUUAUUAUCUCAAAGCCAUCUAAUAGGAUCCCAGUGGUUUGUGAUGUUGACCAUUGUACAACGUUUUAGGUCUUUUGCUUGCCCAUAACCUGUGCAAGUAUGAUACACACAUACACAGCUACAUUUGUAAUCACCGGCUAUGUUAUUUAGUCAAUUAACUUUAUUCAUAUUUCAUUUAUUAUAAUGCACUGGUAACUAUUUGUUUUCUUUCAGUACUUGAAGGACAAGAAGAAGGGCAAGUACAGCAUGAUUUCAGGGAAGAAGAUAAAAAUGAAAGUAAAGAAGUCGAAAAAAGACAAACAGGUAAUCUCAAAUGGUUGAUGUGAAGUA
Molecule: long non-coding RNA, 1017 nt
Organism: Gasterosteus aculeatus (three-spined stickleback)
Lineage: Eukaryota; Metazoa; Chordata; Actinopteri; Perciformes; Gasterosteidae
Source: Ensembl